This is a long non-coding RNA of Patella vulgata (common limpet), 3819 nucleotides long. RefSeq lists it as uncharacterized. The transcript is spliced from 4 exons. The record is from RefSeq and is a predicted model, not a curated record. Lineage: Eukaryota; Metazoa; Mollusca; Gastropoda; Patellidae.
UUCUAGCUAUUAUUUCUACUUGCAGCACAUUCUUGUAGAAAUUAAAGUUUAAUUUUGCUUUAUUUUUGUUUCGUUUUUUUCGUUAUUCGUUGAUUAUAAUGGCAUCCGCGGAUCUAAUAACAGCGGAUAAGACCAGUACCAUUAAGGAGAUGGCGGGUGAUACCUAUAACUUCAACAUUUAUACACAGGAGGCAUCUGUUCAACUUGGAGAGAAGAACAGCAUUGUCUUUGAAACUCCAGAAGGAAUUUUAAAAACAAUUAAUGAGUUAAGGAGAGAGAUUAAGAACCUUAAAAAGAGUGACCAAAACAGGAAACUUCAACUUUCUCUUAUAAAACGAAGUAUUGAUCGUGUUGGGGUUAACGUCACUGUUAACAGGAACGCAAAACGUCCAAAGUAUAAAACAGAUGAUGACUGUCAUACAAAUGAAACAGAUGAGGAAUGGGGGAAUUGGGUUGACGAUGGUGAAUAUAGUAAUUAUGAAUGUGGUAACGAUAGUAAUGAGGAAUGGGAGGAUGGUGACGGCGAUGGUUACUAUAGUAAUGAUGAGGACGAUGAUGAGAAUAAUGUUUUUUGCCCUGAUCUGAACGAUAUUGAAGAGUAUGCGGAAAACGAUUAUGACGAAGUGAAUGGUGGUGGUGAUGAUCAUGAUGAUGAUGAGGAUGACAAUGAUGAUGGAGAGGAGAGGGAGAAAGAGAAGAAGGAAGAUAAUGGGAACGAGGACAUGGUCAGACAUAUAUAUGAUGAUUUCGAUGACAAUGAUUCUGAUUAUGAAAUUUAGACCAAUGGCCCAAAACCAAGCAGUAAAUGCAACGGUAACAGGGUCGCUGUUGUUAUCAACUAACACCUAGUGGUGGAACUCUACAUGGUAUCCCGAUCAGGUAUUAUGGUGGAGUAAUAAACACUCCAGAGCUCACACCUGGAACUACCUCUGAAUGGGAGAUGAAGUUCUUCUGUACUAUAUAGUACGUUCAAGAAAUGAAUGGAUUGUGCAGAAAAGAACGAUUGUAGUCCCAUGACGUGAAGACCAUUUAGGUUAAAAACGUCAGAAUUAUGGGCUAUAUUCCAGGUAACUGAUGGAAUGUAUUAAAUUUCGGGAUGGAUGUCCCUGAAAUUAAAGUUGAUACUUCCAAAUCAUAAGCGUAAUUGUGGUACGCGCAUUACGCUAAAUACCAGAUUGACGUUAUUGAAACUCGGAAUAGGUGUUGGAUAUGAUACAAGUUCUUUAUCUAAAUUACUUACGAUUUUAGAGAGAUAUGUUAGUAUACCUACACUGCUACAUUUUUAUUAGCCGGAUUGUACUGAAAAUUACAAAAGGCGUCCCUGGACAAUAGAUGUUCAAAAUAUAAAAGUGGAUAUAUUGUAGCACGAGUAUAAUAGUAUAGUAUAAUGCUACUAGUCCGAUUGUACGGGAACUCCGACAUGCUGACCGACAAGUAGACAUGCUUUGAGACUGAAAUGUCCCGGAAGUUUAAAUGUACAUUGAUACUUAUAAAUACUUCCCAAUUAUAGUUGACAUUACAACAGUCUAACUAUGCUGUUUUUCCAUGUAAUCAAAAUGGAAUUAAUGCAUUGAAAUAAAGUUCAAAUAUUUCGAGACCAUGAGCUUAAUUGUAGCAAACCUAUAUUCUACAUUUAAAUUGAAACUCGAGAUAGGUGACUAAAAUGAAAAGUUUAUCUAUGUUUAAUACUUACUCAUUAUUAUAGAUAUUGUGGCACACCCAAAAUGUUACAUUUUCCUAUAAUAGUUGAAGUAGUAUUGAAACCAGGGAAGUAUGUCCUUGAAAAUUAGAUUUACUUAAAAUACUAUACAAUGUCCCGAAAAUGUAUAUUUAUUCAAGUUUAAUACUUUCAAAUUAUGCAUACUAUUUUGAAUCGUAUUAAAACUGGGGAAUUGGGUCCCUUAAAUAUAAAUUUACUUAAAAUUAUGGGCGAUAUAGAUGUAACACAUAUGUUGUAUUAUAACUCCGGAUGGGUCCCUACUUAAAAUGUCCUACAUUCUGGGCAUUUUGAAGCAUACCCUUUAUUCUGUAGUUUACACAUAGGUGUAUUUACAAACAUUUUAAAUGCAAAUUAUGAGUGAUAUUUAUGUAACUCAUAGAUUGUAUUGUAACUCCGGAUGGGUCCCUGCUUAAAAUGUCUUAGAUUCUGGGCAUUUUGAAGCAUACCCUUUUUACUGUAGUUUACACAUAGGUGUAUUUACAAACACUUUAAAUGUAAAUUAUGGGUGAUAUUUAUGUAACUCAUAGGUUGUAUUCUAACUCCGGAUGGGUCCCUACUUAAAAUGUUCUACAUUCUGGGCAUUUUGAAGCAUACCCUUUAUACUGUAGUUUACACAUAGGUGUAUUUACAAACACUUUAAAUGCAAAUUAUGGGUGAUAUUUAGGUUGUAUUGUAACUCCGGAUGGGUCCCUACUUUUGAAGCAUACCCUUUAUACUGUAGUUUACACAUAAAUGUAUUUACAAACAUUUUAAAUGCAAAUUAUGGGUGAUAUUUAUGUAACUCAUAGAUUGUAUUGUAACUCCGGAUGGGUCCCUGCUUAAAAUGUCUUACAUUCUGGGCAUUUUGAAGCAUACCCUUUUUACUGUAGUUUACACAUAGGUGUAUUUACAAACACUUUAAAUGUAAAUUAUGGGUGAUAUUUAUGUAACUCAUAGGUUGUAUUGUAACUCCGGAUGGGUCCCUACUUAAAAUGUUCUACAUUUUGGGCAUUUUGAAGCAUACCCUUUAUUCUGUAGUUUACACAUAGGUGUAUUUACAAACACUUUAAAUGUCCUACAUUAUGGGCUUUGUUGAAGCACACACUUUAUGAUACUUUUUUAAAGUAACAAAUAGUUUGUAUUGUUACUCCGGAUGAGUGACCCAGAUUAAAAAUUUAUCUAUGUUUAAUACUUACUUAUUAUUAUAAAUAUUGUAGCACACCCAAAAUGUCACAUUUCCCUAUAAUAGUUAAAGUAGUAUUAAAACUAGGGAAGUAUGCCUCUAAAAAAUAGAAAUAAUUUAAAUACUGGAAUGUCCCGGAAAUUUAAAUUUAAGUUGAAUACUUUCAAAUUAUGAACGAUAUUUUAGCACGCCCAUACUGCUAUAUUUCCGUGUAAUUUGAAUAGUAUUAAAACUAGGGAAUUUUGUCCCUUAAAUAUAAAUUUACUGUAAAUGUCCUACAUUAUGGACUUUGUUACAGCACACAUUUUAUGCUAAUUUUAUGUGAUAUGAAAGCAACAAAUAGGUUGUUCUGUAACUCCGGAUUGUUGACCCAGGUGAAAAGUUUAUCUAUGUUUAACAAUUACUCAUUAGAUUUACUUUAAAUACUGAAAUGUCAUAUAAAUUUAUUUUGUUUUAAGUUAAAUACUUUCAAACUAUGGAUAAUAUUUUAAAUAUUAAAACUAUAGGGAAUAAAUGUAUUUAAAUGUCCCACAACAUGGGCAUAUUGAAGCACACCCUUUUUGCUAUAUUUUAUAAAGUAACCAAUCUGAUGUAUUGAAAUACUUUAAAUGCAAAUUAUGGGAGAUAUUAUAGCGCAAAAAUGUUGCUAUAUUCGAUGUAAUUUGAGUGGCAUUAAAGAUAAGGAAUUGUGUCCGGUAUAUUGAUUACUGUGGACUUCAUAAUUGUAGCACACAAUUUGUGCACCUUGUUUUUGUUUUAAAAAGUAAGCAAUGAAUUGUAUUGAAAUACAGGAUAUUUAUUGUCAUAAAAAAUCACUGUUAUCUUUAAUACUGAAACGAUGCCUUGCAAAACGGCAUAUAACAUGUAAUUUAAGUAACAUCAGUGUCUCGGUUUGACCAAUCAUUUUAUGCAUUGCAUAAUUAUAAAUGUAUGUUUU